CCUGAACUUAAAGCAUAAAAAAAAGCGGAGGAA
RNAcentral lists this ribosomal RNA (33 nucleotides) under Rhizoctonia sp. AG-A. Its description in RNAcentral is "partial 28S ribosomal RNA". Lineage: Eukaryota; Fungi; Basidiomycota; Agaricomycetes; Cantharellales; Ceratobasidiaceae. The record is from RNAcentral.